This 253-nucleotide ribosomal RNA is filed under the name uncultured bacterium. RNAcentral describes it as "partial 16S ribosomal RNA". It matches the Rfam family "Bacterial small subunit ribosomal RNA", at positions 524 to 776 of the family's 1533-position model. The record is from RNAcentral.
UACGAAGGGAACUAGCGUUGUUCGGAAUUACUGGGCGUAAAGCGCGCGUAGGCGGCCUGAUAAGUCGGCUGUGAAAGUCAAGGGCUCAACCCUUGAAUGCCGGCCGAUACUGUCAGGCUAGAGUCCGGAAGAGGCGAGUGGAAUUCCUGGUGUAGCGGUGAAAUGCGCAGAUAUCAGGAGGAACACCUAUGGCGAAGGCAGCUCGCUGGGACGGUACUGACGCUGAGACGCGAAAGCGUGUGGAGCGAACAGG